RNAcentral lists this ribosomal RNA (249 nucleotides) under uncultured organism. Its description in RNAcentral is "partial 16S ribosomal RNA". It matches the Rfam family "Bacterial small subunit ribosomal RNA", at positions 355 to 596 of the family's 1533-position model. The record is from RNAcentral.
UGGGGAAUUUUCCGCAAUGGGCGCAAGCCUGACGGAGCAACGCCGCGUGAGUGAUGAAGGUUUUCGGAUCGUAAAGCUCUGUUGCCAGGGAAGAACGCUUAGGAGAGUAACUGCUCCUGAGGUGACGGUACCUGAGAAGAAAGCCCCGGCUAACUACGUGCCAGCAGCCGCGGUAAUACGGAGGGCGCGAGCGUUACCCGGAUUUACUGGGCGUAAAGGGCGUGUAGGCGGCCUGGGGCGUCCCAUGUG